UACGGAGGAUGCGAGCGUUAUCCGGAUUUAUUGGGUUUAAAGGGUGCGUAGGUGGAUUUUUAAGUCAGCGGUAAAAUGUCCGGGCUCAACCCCGGCCCGCCGUUGAAACUGGCUGGCUUGAGUUGGGGAAAGGCAGGCGGAAUGCGCGGUGUAGCGGUGAAAUGCAUAGAUAUCGCGCAGAACCCCGAUUGCGGAGGCAGCCUGCCGGCCCCACACUGACGCUGAGGCACGAAAGCGUGGGUAUCGAACAGG
This 252-nucleotide ribosomal RNA is filed under the name uncultured Bacteroidales bacterium. RNAcentral describes it as "partial 16S ribosomal RNA". It matches the Rfam family "Bacterial small subunit ribosomal RNA", at positions 524 to 776 of the family's 1533-position model. The record is from RNAcentral. Lineage: Bacteria; Pseudomonadati; Bacteroidota; Bacteroidia; Bacteroidales.